Molecule: non-coding RNA, 2650 nt
Filed under: Pan troglodytes (chimpanzee)
Lineage: Eukaryota; Metazoa; Chordata; Mammalia; Primates; Hominidae
Source: RNAcentral
CUAUUGACCAGAAGCCUUACCAAUAACAUAAACAGUUAACACAUAUUCUGUAUAUAUAUUGUAUACUGUAUUCUUACUUUAAUAAAGUAAGCUAAAUAAAAUGUUAUUGAAAUCAUAAGGAAGAGGAAAUGUAUUUAUAACACUGUAUUGUAUUUGUACAGUACGUGUACAUGGUCUGUUUACAAGAUGAAUCGUCUGACUGAAAUGACUGCUGCUGCACACUCCAAACUAUGGUAUAUAUCAAAGCAAUUCAACUUUUCUAGUAGUGUCAUGACUUUGCUUCUUGAGAAUACUUCCAGCAUCACUAGUGGCAUUUUAUAUGGGUCCCAUGGUGUUAUUCAAGGUUUAUGUUAUUGCACUAAACAUGAAAAAUACACAAGAACCAUGAGAGAUUAUGUUUACUGUGAUACACAAUUUACUGGAAAGAUGAGCUGACCACAUGCAGAUUAACAUCACACGGUGUUUUAAACAGAUACUCACAACACUUGAGCUCACUGCAAUAGCAACGGGAGGUGGUUAUGAAAUUAUUGUAGUACUACAGUAUGUACUACAGCUAAUCUUAUGCAUUUAUGAUUUAAAACUGCAUCUUUACAUGUGUUUACUUUUUCCCAAUUGUGAAUGCUGUCAUGUACAUCUGUGCUUGUGCAAGUUUUGAUAAAUUUUAACUUUUUAAAAUAGAUAUUUGUAUAUUUUCCAAUAGUUUAUAACACAGACUAGUAUCUACAUAUAUUUUAUGCAUUCACGACAUACAUAAAUUUUUCUUAAUGUUUUUAUAUUUCUAGGCUAUGUGGUUCAUCUGCAAGUUCUUUCAAAUUAUUGCAAAGCUCCAAAAAAUUUCCCAAAAUAUUUUUUGAAAAAAAUCUGCAUAGAAGUGGACCUGCACAGACCAAACUUGUGUUGUUCAAGGGUCGGCUGUAUUUGGGAGAGGAAUCCCACAGAACUUUAAUUUUGAAAGAUAAGGGCUUACACUUCAGAGUAAAAAAUUAAAGAGAAACAAAAUAAUAAAGGAAAAUAAUAAAUGCCUUCUGUUCUAAAGCAAAUCUUGCAGUUGAAUACUUGCAGUUGAAUCCACCAAGACAAAUUAAGAAAUUUUCUUUUCUAUACUGGACAGACCCGAAUUCUAAAGUGUUUGCAUUAGAAUUCUCAAAUAAAAGGGAAAAAGCCACCCAAAAGAGUAUUGCAAGGAAACAUGUGAAUGCUCACCAAAUUCACUUCUAGGCAUAUCUCUUCGAUUGAGAGUAGCAGAGAGAGGUCUCACGGGUGGCUCCACUGUCAAUGGAGGGGAGCAUUCUCCACCACUCACAGGGGAUGGGCCAAAAGAGCCAUUCUGGCUCAGAGGACCUAAAGAUGACAGCAUCUUGUUAGCAUUUUAAGACAGCCUUUUUUUCUUUAUUCAGUUCUUGGGAUUAUUCCUAGGGUACCAUAACCAUUACACACAGAAAUAAAAAGUCACUUAUAUACAUUUUACAUCAAAAAACAGAUUGUUGCCCUUUACAAGGUGCUCCCUUACCUCUCCGUGGAGGGUUUUGUGUAUUUGGUUUUCCUGGCAUUGGUUUUACAAUCACAGGUUCUUCUUGCAGCAUUGCCAUCUUUUGUGUUAAUUCUAAUAAUCUUGAAUAUAGAGAAAGAAUAUUUAAGAAAGAGUUAAAUAUGAAAUAGAAACCAAUUCCUUAAGAGAACACACACUGAAAAUAUAGGCAUCAAAAUCCACAUACUUGUGUCUCAAGUUGGCAGCUUCCCUUUUCUCUUCAGCUAUAGCUCUUUCUGCAGCACGAGCUUUGAGCUAUUGAAGAAAAAUAUCCAAAUUCAGUUGUGGGAGACUAUGCACAAAAUAAGGGAAAGAAAAAAAGAAAUCUUACCCAGUUUUCAUGAGCUUUCUUCUCAUGGGUAGCGAUCUGAAAAAGAUAAUACAUCACAAAAUAUGCUUACAGAUUCAUUAUAAUAGCCUCUAUUAGUUAUCAAAGAAUUCCGGGCACUAUAUAGUAGGGCACUAGAAUUAUUACCUGGUUUUUAAAUGACCGCUCUGUCUUCUGUAAUUCAUCCUCCAUUUCUUCAAUUCUCCGCCUAAGAAUUACACUUGGCUUUAUCAUUUAAAGCACAACUGAAUAAAAACCCAAACAAUCUGACUAUGUUAACCGUUACCCUAACGACUGUACCCUAAUAGAGCUUAUCCAGAAAUAUAAAGCAUAUUUUACAUGGUUGGUUAUAACAAAAGUACAAUAUGAUGAAAACUAAUGAUACAUAAUUUCCUUUAACAGCUGGAGAUUGAGUUGAUAUAUUACAAUUCCUUUAACUGUUCCUAAAUAUGUUCUCAAAUAAUCCUAUUAUUAAUAUCUUCCACUAUAAACCUUUUUUCAUCCUUUAAUUACAUCACAAAAAUUUUCCCAAAGUUAGGACUACUGGGUCUAUCAAAUGGCAAAAUCACUUUAAUGGCUUUUGAUACAUCAUAUAACAAACUGCUCCCACCCCCUCCAACCCCCAGAACUGUUUGCACAAAUCAAGUUCCCUUACAGUUUUGCCAACACUGGGUAUUUGUUAAUAUUUUUCCAUUUGUUAACUUAAAAUUUAGUUUUUCUUUUGUGUGAAUUGAUGUAUUCAUGUCCUCUAACCAUUUAUUUAUGCUUUUGUGCUAAUAAAAAAAGCCAACACU